CGAUGGAUGGUUGGCCUGAUAUUGCUAAAUCUGUGUACCGGGAAAGUGAUGCGGGUGAAAGGACAGUGAUCCUUGUGAUAAAGCAGAGAAACUUGCUGGCAACCGCCUGUCAUCUAGAGCUAACUACAGACACCCGACGGUCUGUCUGUUUCUCUGUUUUUAUCUAGGCAUAGUUAUUUCAUGAAGACUGUGGACGAGAGCAGCCAAGACAACACCCAGUCCUGUCUUGUUUGUACGCACAAAGGCUAAGUAUAUUAACAAAACAAGGACUCGUCUCCACAAUACUUAGAAAGUGCUGCGGCUGAAAAGACAGUGAUCAUUGGGAUAAAGCAGGGAAAGUUGCUGGCAACUGAAGGCAUGGUUAUUUCAUUAAGACGGUGGACGAGAGCAGCCAAGAAAGC
Andrographis paniculata is the source of this 401-nucleotide long non-coding RNA. RefSeq lists it as uncharacterized. The record is from RefSeq and is a predicted model, not a curated record. The transcript has 4 exons. NCBI's taxonomy places the organism in Eukaryota, Viridiplantae, Streptophyta, Magnoliopsida, Lamiales, Acanthaceae.